Long non-coding RNA from Triticum aestivum (bread wheat), 657 nucleotides. RefSeq lists it as uncharacterized. The record is from RefSeq and is a predicted model, not a curated record. NCBI's taxonomy places the organism in Eukaryota, Viridiplantae, Streptophyta, Magnoliopsida, Poales, Poaceae. The transcript has 2 exons.
GAGCCGGACUGGAGCGCACCGUACACGCGAUCGAGGCCGAGCCGGAUCGACCCGAUUCCCUGGUCCACCCCGAGCACCCUGGAGACGCCACGCGCAAGCUAAACCCUAUGGGAACCCGACCGCAGCCUCCCCUCGUCCUCCUUCGACCACACGAAGCCGCUGGGGCGAUUUGGAUCUCGCACCGGAGCUCCGCUGUCCGCCGUCUUCGCCGGAGGAUUCCAUCGCCCAGGGGGCGAGGAACAAGCUCGACCGCCGCCGCCGGAGCCACCGCGUUCAGGUCUUCACGGCCGCUGGCACAGUCCGCCUCGCCGCCGUCCGACACCACCACCGCCUCUGCCAAUCACCGCCGCACCCAUCCUUCGCUUCGUAUUCGCCGGAGCAUCGUCGGAGGAGCGCCGCCGCCGACGCCCGAGGCAGCCGCCGCCAUCCUCUGUUUCUGGUGAGCACACGUGCCCAGCCAAUCACGUGCUGCCAUGUGGCAACCAGCUACAGUACACGCACGACUGUGCAGGAGUUUUCUGUUUUCUUUUGUUUUAUUUUCAGAUUUUAACUCUAACUUCAAUUAGCUAUAACUUCUAUUCUGUAUAUCCAAUUUAGGUAAUUCUUUUUCCUAUGAUCUCACAAACAUCAGCCCUUCAUGACAGUACCAACUUUGCA